Molecule: ribosomal RNA, 257 nt
Filed under: uncultured bacterium
Lineage: Bacteria
Description: partial 16S ribosomal RNA
Rfam family: Bacterial small subunit ribosomal RNA
Source: RNAcentral
UACGAAGGGGGCUAGCGUUUGCUCGGAAUCACUGGGCGUAAAGGGUGCGUAGGCGGGUCUUUAAGUCAGGGGUGAAAUCCCUGGAGCUCAACUCCCAGAACUGCCUUUGAUACUGAAGAUCUUGAGUUCGGGAGAGGUGAGUGGAACUGCGAGUGUAGAGGUGAAAUUCGUAGAUAUUCGCAAGAACACCAGUGGCGAAGGCGGCUCACUGGCCCGAUACUGACGCUGAGGCACGGAAAGCGUGGGGAGCAAACAGG